RNAcentral lists this ribosomal RNA (253 nucleotides) under uncultured bacterium. RNAcentral describes it as "partial 16S ribosomal RNA". It matches the Rfam family "Bacterial small subunit ribosomal RNA", at positions 524 to 776 of the family's 1533-position model. The record is from RNAcentral.
UACGGAGGGGGUUAGCGUUGUUCGGAAUUACUGGGCGUAAAGCGCGCGUAGGCGGAUUGGAAAGUUGGGGGUGAAAUCCCAGGGCUCAACCCUGGAACUGCCUCCAAAACUAUCAGUCUGGAGUUCGAGAGAGGUGAGUGGAAUUCCGAGUGUAGAGGUGAAAUUCGUAGAUAUUCGGAGGAACACCAGUGGCGAAGGCGGCUCACUGGCUCGAUACUGACGCUGAGGUGCGAAAGCGUGGGGAGCAAACAGG